Molecule: ribosomal RNA, 630 nt
Filed under: uncultured fungus
Lineage: Eukaryota; Fungi
Description: eukaryotic LSU rRNA
Rfam family: Eukaryotic large subunit ribosomal RNA
Source: RNAcentral
CCCGCUGAACUUAAGCAUAUCAAUAAGCGGAGGAAAAGAAACCAACAGGGAUUGCCUUAGUAACGGCGAGUGAAGCGGCAAAAGCUCAAAUUUGAAAUCUGGCUUCCUUUUUGGGGCCCGAGUUGUAAUUUGGAGAGGAUGCUUUGGGUGCGGCUGCGGUCUAAGUCCCCUGGAACGGGGCAUCAUAGAGGGUGAGAAUCCCGUCUGGGACCGCUGAGUCAUGCCUAUGUAAAGCUCCUUCGACGAGUCGAGUUGUUUGGGAAUGCAGCUCUAAAUGGGUGGUAAAUUUCAUCUAAAGCUAAAUAUUGGCCGGAGACCGAUAGCGCACAAGUAGAGUGAUCGAAAGAUGAAAAGCACUUUGAAAAGAGAGUUAAACAGCAUGUGAAAUUGUUGAAAGGGAAGCGCUUGCGACCAGACUCGCCCGCGGAGGCUCAGCCGGCAUGCUUUGGCGGUGCACUCCUUCGCGGUCGAGCCAGCGUCGGUUCUGACGGUUGGUUAAAGGCUCUCGGAAUGUGUCGUCUCUCGGGGCGUCUUAUAGCCGAGGGUGCAAUGCGGCCAGUCGGGACCGAGGAACGCGCUUCGGCACGGACGCUGGCGUAAUGGUCGUAAGCGACCCGUCUUGAAACACGG